GACGAACGCUGGCGGCGUGCUUAACACAUGCAAGUCGAACGGAAAGGCCCUGCUUGCAGGGUACUCGAGUGGCGAACGGGUGAGUAACACGUGGGUGAUCUGCCCUGCACUUCGGGAUAAGCCUGGGAAACUGGGUCUAAUACCGGAUAGGAGCCAUUUUUAGUGUGAUGGUUGGAAAGUUUUUUCGGUGUAGGAUGAGCUCGCGGCCUAUCAGCUUGUUGGUGGGGUAAUGGCCUACCAAGGCGGCGACGGGUAGCCGGCCCGAGAGGGUGGACGGCCACAUUGGGACUGGGAGACGGGCCCGACUCCUACGGGAGGCAGCAGUGGGGAAUAUUGCACAAUGGGCGCCAGCCUGAUGCAGCGACGCCGCGUGGGGGAUGACGGCCUUCGGGUUGUAAACUCCUUUCGCUAGGGACGAAGCUUUUUGUGACGGUACCUAGAUAAGAAGCACCGGCUAACUACGUG
This 465-nucleotide ribosomal RNA is filed under the name uncultured bacterium. Its description in RNAcentral is "partial 16S ribosomal RNA". It matches the Rfam family "Bacterial small subunit ribosomal RNA", at positions 28 to 507 of the family's 1533-position model. The record is from RNAcentral.